RNAcentral lists this ribosomal RNA (495 nucleotides) under uncultured bacterium. Its description in RNAcentral is "partial 16S ribosomal RNA". It matches the Rfam family "Bacterial small subunit ribosomal RNA", at positions 28 to 507 of the family's 1533-position model. The record is from RNAcentral.
GACGAACGCUGGCGGCGUGCCUAAUACAUGCAAGUAGAACGCUGAAGGAGGAGCUUGCUUCUCCGGAUGAGUUGCGAACGGGUGAGUAACGCGUAGGUAACCUGCCUGGUAGCGGGGGAUAACUAUUGGAAACGAUAGAUAAUACCGCAUAACAGUAGAUGUUGCAUGACAUUUGCUUAAAAGGUGCAAUUGCAUCACUACCAGAUGGACCUGCGUUGUAUUAGCUAGUUGGUGAGGUAACGGCUCACCAAGGCGACGAUACAUAGCCGACCUGAGAGGGGGGACCGCCACACUGGGACUGAGACCCGGCCCAGGCUCCUUCGGGAGGCAGCAGUAGGGGAUCUUCGGCCAUGGACGGAAGUCUGACCGCGCAACGCCGCGUGAGUGGAGAAGGGUUUCGGAUCGUAAAGCUCUGUUGUUAGGGAAGAACGAGUGUGAGAGUGGAACGUUCACACUGUGACGGUACCUGACGAGAAAGCACCGGCUAACUACGUG